UCAUUAGCGGAUGUAGCAUCAUCAAGAUUCACAUGAAAAAUGCUGAUUGGACUCUGAUCUGAUCUUAACCACUCCAUAGCUCUUUUUUUAUUGAGAAUCUUGAUGAUGCUGCAUCAGCCAUAAA
This is a non-coding RNA of Cicer arietinum (chickpea), 124 nucleotides long. NCBI's taxonomy places the organism in Eukaryota, Viridiplantae, Streptophyta, Magnoliopsida, Fabales, Fabaceae. The record is from Rfam.